UAAGCCGUUGAAGGUGUCCUGUGAGGGGUGCUGGAGGUAUCAGAAGUGCGAAUGCUGACAUAAGUAACGAUAAAGCGGGUGAAAAGCCCGCUCGCCGGAAGACCAAGGGUUCCUGUCCAACGUUAAUCGGGGCAGGGUGAGUCGACCCCUAAGGCGAGGCCGAAAGGCGUAGUCGAUGGGAAACGGGUUAAUAUUCCCGUACUUGGUGUUACUGCGAAGGGGGGACGGAGAAGGCUAUGUUGGCCGGGCGACGGUUGUCCCGGUUUAAGCGUGUAGGUGUGUGUUCCAGGUAAAUCCGGUUCACUUUAACACUGAGGCGUGAUGACGAGGCACCACGGUGCUGAAGCAACAAAUGCCCUGCUUCCAGGAAAAGCCUCUAAGCAUCAGGUAACAUCAAAUCGUACCCCAAACCGACACAGGUGGUCAGGUAGAGAAUACCAAGGCGCUUGAGAGAACUCGGGUGAAGGAACUAGGCAAAAUGGUGCCGUAACUUCGGGAGAAGGCACGCUGACACGUAGGUGAAGUGAUUUACUCAUGGAGCUGAAGUCAGUCGAAGAUACCAGCUGGCUGCAACUGUUUAUUAAAAACACAGCACUGUGCAAACACGAAAGUGGACGUAUACGGUGUGACGCCUGCCCGGUGCCGGAAGGUUAAUUGAUGGGGUCAGCGCAAGCGAAGCUCCUGAUCGAAGCCCCGGUAAACGGCGGCCGUAACUAUAACGGUCCUAAGGUAGCGAAAUUCCUUGUCGGGUAAGUUCCGACCUGCACGAAUGGCGUAAUGAUGGCCAGGCUGUCUCCACCCGAGACUCAGUGAAAUUGAACUCGCUGUGAAGAUGCAGUGUACCCGCGGCAAGACGGAAAGACCCCGUGAACCUUUACUAUAGCUUGACACUGAACAUUGAGCCUUGAUGUGUAGGAUAGGUGGGAGGCUUUGAAGCGUGGACGCCAGUCUGCGUGGAGCCGACCUUGAAAUACCACCCUUUAAUGUUUGAUGUUCUAACGUGGACCCGUAAUCCGGGUUGCGGACAGUGUCUGGUGGGUAGUUUGACUGGGGCGGUCUCCUCCUAAAGAGUAACGGAGGAGCACGAAGGUUGGCUAAUCCUGGUCGGACAUCAGGAGGUUAGUGCAAUGGCAUAAGCCAGCUUGACUGCGAGCGUGACGGCGCGAGCAGGUGCGAAAGCAGGUCAUAGUGAUCCGGUGGUUCUGAAUGGAAGGGCCAUCGCUCAACGGAUAAAAGGUACUCCGGGGAUAACAGGCUGAUACCGCCCAAGAGUUCAUAUCGACGGCGGUGUUUGGCACCUCGAUGUCGGCUCAUCACAUCCUGGGGCUGAAGUAGGUCCCAAGGGUAUGGCUGUUCGCCAUUUAAAGUGGUACGCGAGCUGGGUUUAGAACGUCGUGAGACAGUUCGGUCCCUAUCUGCCGUGGGCGCUGGAAGACUGAGGGGGGCUGCUCCUAGUACGAGAGGACCGGAGUGGACGCAUCACUGGUGUUCGGGUUGUCAUGCCAAUGGCACUGCCCGGUAGCUAAAUGCGGAAAAGAUAAGUGCUGAAAGCAUCUAAGCACGAAACUUGCCCCGAGAUGAGUCUUCCCUGAGACCUUGAGUCUCCUGAAGGAACGUUAAAGACGAUGACGUUGAUAGGCCGGGUGUGUAAGCGCAGCGAUGC
Molecule: ribosomal RNA, 1663 nt
Filed under: Salmonella enterica subsp. diarizonae
Lineage: Bacteria; Pseudomonadati; Pseudomonadota; Gammaproteobacteria; Enterobacterales; Enterobacteriaceae
Description: partial 23S ribosomal RNA
Rfam family: Bacterial large subunit ribosomal RNA
Source: RNAcentral